GACUGCUCCGGUUGCCUUGGUGGUAAGAGCGUCCGCCUCGUAUGUGGGAGGUAGUGGGUUUGAUCUCCGGCCGAGUCA
Potamilus streckersoni is the source of this 78-nucleotide non-coding RNA. The record is from the annotation of a GenBank genome assembly. NCBI's taxonomy places the organism in Eukaryota, Metazoa, Mollusca, Bivalvia, Unionida, Unionidae.